AUUAGUAACGGCGAGCGAAGAUGGAAGAGACCAAAUUGUAAUUUAAUUAGUUGUUAAAGGGCGAUUGAGUUGUGAAGAGACAAGGAUUAUAUGUCCUGUAGCAACGAAGUGGUGUUGAUUAGAAGAGUAGUUCUGUUUGGUAGUGCAGAAUGAAUUUAGGUGGUGAUUAUCAUCUGAGUCUAAAUAUUAAGUUGAGACCGAUAGUGAAUUAGUACUGCGAAGGGA
This 225-nucleotide ribosomal RNA is filed under the name uncultured Gurleya. RNAcentral describes it as "partial 28S ribosomal RNA". It matches the Rfam family "Archaeal large subunit ribosomal RNA", at positions 220 to 501 of the family's 2987-position model. Lineage: Eukaryota; Fungi; Microsporidia; Gurleyidae. The record is from RNAcentral.